This is a long non-coding RNA of Tetranychus urticae (two-spotted spider mite), 786 nucleotides long. RefSeq lists it as uncharacterized. Lineage: Eukaryota; Metazoa; Arthropoda; Arachnida; Trombidiformes; Tetranychidae. The record is from RefSeq and is a predicted model, not a curated record.
CUUUUGUCUAUUUUUAAUCUUUUGUCUGGAUAACUAUUAUUGAUUAAUGUGUUAAAAGUACGGAUAACUAUAAUUGUUACAGUUAAUAAUCGAAUCACUACUUUCACUUUUUGUCGUAAUUUAUAUUGCAUUUUUUAAUUUAAAAUUGUUGCUAUCUUGUUAAUACUUUUGUGACUUUACUUUUCACAUGGUAAGGUUUAAAAAUUUAUUAAUCUAAUGCAUUUUAUUUCAUGAUGAGAUUAUGAUAAAAGUUUUAAGAACUCUAAGAUUAUCUCAACCAUGGAAUUUAAGAAUCUGUUUGAACUGAAUCAAAGGUGAACUUGUGUAUUAUACAAGUUUCGAUGGGUAUGGAGGUUAUUACUCUGUCUGGGAUUACUAUUACUCUGUGCUUUCUUUCAAUACGUUUUCAAAGUUCAAAUGGUGACGGAAAAAAAGAGGUGAAUACAAGGGGAAAGAAGAGCAUGCAAAGUUUCCAAUGUAACUCUAAAUGAAUCAGCCGAAAGACAAGUUUUCUGGAAAAUGAUGUGAACCAUUGACAAAGGGAACAACAAUCUGUUUAUUAACAUGAACCCGAAACUCUGAGAGAUUUUGUAUUAUAACAAGUUUCUUUGGAUGGAACAAAGAAAGAGGAGAAAUUUUUUUCUCCAAGAAAUAUCUCGCAACGUUUAUCCUGACGAGACCUGAAAGGUUAAAGAGGACACUCCUGGUAUCUAUCCACACACUAACUAUCAAGUGUACAUCAGUAAUAUAAUUUGGAGAGUCUGACAACCUUAAGGACAAUUUAUC